Molecule: ribosomal RNA, 253 nt
Filed under: uncultured bacterium
Lineage: Bacteria
Description: partial 16S ribosomal RNA
Rfam family: Bacterial small subunit ribosomal RNA
Source: RNAcentral
UACGGAGGGUGCGAGCGUUGUCCGGAAUCACUGGGCGUAAAGGGCUCGUAGGCGGCCAACUAAGUCAUACGUGAAAUCCCUCAGCUUAACUGGGGAACUGCGUGUGAUACUGGAUGGCUUGGAUUUGGGAGAGGGAUGCGGAAUUCCAGGUGUAGCGGUGAAAUGCGUAGAUAUCUGGAGGAACACCGGUGGCGAAGGCGGCAUUCUGGACUGUAACUGACACUGAGGAACGAAAGCCAGGGGAGCAAACGGG